Molecule: transfer RNA, 73 nt
Filed under: Allobates caeruleodactylus
Lineage: Eukaryota; Metazoa; Chordata; Amphibia; Anura; Aromobatidae
Description: tRNA-Leu
Rfam family: tRNA
About the family: Transfer RNA (tRNA) molecules are approximately 80 nucleotides in length. Their secondary structure includes four short double-helical elements and three loops (D, anti-codon, and T loops). Further hydrogen bonds mediate the characteristic L-shaped molecular structure. tRNAs have two regions of fundamental functional importance: the anti-codon, which is responsible for specific mRNA codon recognition, and the 3' end, to which the tRNAs corresponding amino acid is attached (by aminoacyl-tRNA synthetases). tRNAs cope with the degeneracy of the genetic code in two manners: having more than one tRNA (with a specific anti-codon) for a particular amino acid; and 'wobble' base-pairing, i.e. permitting non-standard base-pairing at the 3rd anti-codon position.
Source: RNAcentral
GCUAACGUAGCAAAACCCGGCCCUGCCAAAGACCUAAACUCUUUUUACAGAAGUUCAAAUCUUCUCGUUAGCU